This 432-nucleotide ribosomal RNA is filed under the name uncultured bacterium. RNAcentral's name for it is "partial 16S ribosomal RNA". It matches the Rfam family "Bacterial small subunit ribosomal RNA", at positions 29 to 506 of the family's 1533-position model. The record is from RNAcentral.
AACGAACGCUGGCGGCAUGCCUAACACAUGCAAGUCGAACGAGACCUUCGGGUCUAGUGGCGCACGGGUGCGUAACGCGUGGGAACCUGCCCUUAGGUUCGGAAUAACUCCCCGAAAGGGGUGCUAAUACCGGAUAAUGUCUUCGGACCAAAGAUUUAUCGCCUUUGGUUGGGCCCGCGUUGGAUUAGCUAGUUGGUAGGGUAAAAGCCUACCAAGGCGACGAUCCAUAGCUGGUCUGAGAGGAUGAUCAGCCACACUGGGACUGAGACACGGCCCAGACUCCCACGGGAGGCAGCAGGGGGGAAGAAGGGACAAUGCGCGAAAGCCUGAUCCAGCAAGGCCGCGUGAGUGAUGAAGGCGUUAGGGUUGUAAAGCUCUUUUACCCGGGAUGAUAAGGACAGAACCGGUAGAAGAAGCUCCGGCUAACUCCGU